CUUAAGCAUUCACCCUGGGCACGUUCCCUGUGAAGAAGGUGUUAUGAAAAUGUUUCAAAGGAAAAAGAAAAAUGCAGCUCAUUUCAAAAGAAGUAGAAUCUGGAGGUUACCCAGUCCUGAAAGAAAUACAGAUUUCUUCUCUUUUUAUUCCCUCUGUUUUAACUGUUAGACAUGAGUUGGCAUCCUUCUUGUGGGUGAAAAAUGAGGGAACAUACCAGCUUCCUUCAUCCUGAACCUGGAAGAGUCUCUUCUCUGUGAUUUGCUUUCCCCUGAAACACAGAUUCAUGCAUGACAGCUUCCAGCGUCACUUCAUCUCUGCUGGCCUCAUGUUUGAACCCAGAGCCAAAAUCAAACACAAAUUAAGAAUGUAGCUAAUCUUUGCUGAGCCUGCUCGACCAUUGGCAUGCCUCCAUGUUGGGCUGUGGUGUGCAGGUUUGGCCCAUAUUGGGUGCAGGGUGGGAGGUCUCACUGUGAGUUUUCUGGAAAGGAGUGUGUGUUCUAUAGGCUUUGAGGACCAGGGCAGCCACGGCCACAGCUCCCACUGGCCAGAGCUCACCUACCCAUUCCGUCCCCACGGUCCCCUCCCAGCAGGGGGUGGGCACAGGAGAAGAGCGUGUCGGCCUGGUUUGCGAAAGAGGAAUCCAUCGCCGUGUAGCAGAAAGGCCAUGCGUGGGGGCCCAAGUUGCAGAAAGCAGGCUCUGCACCCCAGCCCUUCCUCCUGGACGCCCCCAUCAUCGUGGGAAAGUCACACUACCCUCUGGGCCUUGGGUUCUUUAUCUCUUUGUAAAAGGGAACCAGUUCCCAGGUCUUUAGAUUGUCAGAGGGUUAAGGCCAGCUCAACCCUUGGGCAUGUGCUGGUUUUCUUUAUAUCCUUCCAGUUAAUGUGAAUUUUCCUGAAAUUGACUGAUUUCUAAGAACACAUAGGAAGUAUUGUGAAAGAUCUUGUCUGUCGUUUGGCCCUAAAACAUGCCAAUCCCCUGUUCAUGAGAAAUACUCUUUAAGGCUGAAUGCCAAGCAAGACCCAUGAGCUACCUUAGUACCUUCCUCUUGAUAAUGCGAUUAUAUCAUAAUGUACUGUCAGAGCGCCUAGUC
This 1092-nucleotide long non-coding RNA is filed under the name Capra hircus (goat). RNAcentral's name for it is "lncRNA (ENSCHIG00010013084.1)". The record is from RNAcentral. Lineage: Eukaryota; Metazoa; Chordata; Mammalia; Artiodactyla; Bovidae.